CGGACGGGUGAGUAACGCGUGGGUAACCUGCCUUGUACAGGGGGAUAACAGUUGGAAACGGCUGCUAAUACCGCAUAAGCGCACAGCAUCGCAUGAUGCAGUGUGAAAAACUCCGGUGGUAUAAGAUGGACCCGCGUUGGAUUAGCUAGUUGGUGAGGUAACGGCCCACCAAGGCGACGAUCCAUAGCCGACCUGAGAGGGUGACCGGCCACAUUGGGACUGAGACACGGCCCAA
Molecule: ribosomal RNA, 235 nt
Filed under: uncultured bacterium
Lineage: Bacteria
Description: partial 16S ribosomal RNA
Rfam family: Bacterial small subunit ribosomal RNA
Source: RNAcentral